UUCGGAGGGGGACGAAGGGCCGGAAACUAGGGUUCGGCGAAAACAAAGAAGAAAGAAAGAAAGACAGAGAGAGAAGGAGAGGGAAAGGUCGGAAGGAGGAAGAGGCCGUAGAUCCGGCCGGAGGAGAAGAAGAAGGCCGAAGGACCGGCCGGAGCAACCGAGGUCGUCGGUAGAGACGAAGGAGAGAAGAGGGAGAGAGAGAGCGGCCGGAAGAGAGAGAGGGGAGCCGGGAAACGAAGAGGCGAAGCCUCUGGAAGGGGGGGAAAACCCGGAUAGCGGGUUCGCGGGUCGGAUCCGCAUCCGAACCCGCAACCCGUUAAGCCUAAAAAUUGAAAUGGGUUAAGUAAACCCAAUUAAACCGGACCCAAUCUAGUUGGGUGAACCCGGAUGAGGGAUUGAGUGGGAUCUGAACCCAAUUGAACCUGAACCCGAGCCCAAUUUAAUUGGGCUAAGUCUGGACGAGCCCAAAUUACAAAUUGGGUCAAAUCCGAACCAAAUUAGGCCCAAAUUGAUUUGGGUCCGAACCCAGUUGAGUGGAGUUAAUUCCAGCAGACCCAAUUAAACUUGGGAUUAAGCCUAAUGACCAAUUAGAAGGCCAAUUAAACCAUAUGGACCCAAUCAAGGCUCCAAUAUGAACACAUUAGACUUGGGCUAAAUUUCGGGUAGGAUCCAAACAAGUAAAAAGGAAAUAAUAUGCUCAUUAUAAUGUGAUUUUAGGUGACUCAGGAUCCGUCACCAGGACGUAAGAAACUUGGGAGAAAACGAAUCACU
RNAcentral lists this long non-coding RNA (771 nucleotides) under Phoenix dactylifera (date palm). Its description in RNAcentral is "long non-coding RNA (PDAC_LNC018421)". The record is from RNAcentral. Lineage: Eukaryota; Viridiplantae; Streptophyta; Magnoliopsida; Arecales; Arecaceae.